RNAcentral lists this long non-coding RNA (935 nucleotides) under Homo sapiens (human). RNAcentral's name for it is "HSALNT0401882". The record is from RNAcentral. Lineage: Eukaryota; Metazoa; Chordata; Mammalia; Primates; Hominidae.
GUCGCUCCACAGCUGGCAGAUGAGCUGGCUGGGAAGAUACAAGGUGGCUGCACUCACUAUUGGGGGCCCUAGCUCGGAUGCCUGCCAGGCUGGGCUCAGCUGGGACUGCCUCCUACACGUGGCCUCUCCAGCAUGGUGACGUCACGGAAGCCUCAGACUCCUCACACAGAUGCUGGAUUCCCCGGAGGGAGUGUUUCCAGGGGUCCCCUGCAGAAUCAGCAAGCAACGCUUCUGACACCUGCCUCGGAAGGGCCAGAGCACCUCUGCUGUUGUGGUCCAUUGGCAAGCCAAUCACUAAGGCUGGCCUGUACUCAAAGGAAGAAUUAGAUCCCACCUCUCCAUGGGCCGCGCAGCAGAUAAUUCGGGGUCUUGGUUAAUCUACCAUGUUCUUUCUCUCCACUGCAGGUGUGUUAAACCGGAGGCCACUGGGUCUCUUGGACAACUAGCAGUGAAUCUGUGAAUCCCCUGAGUGCACAGUUUUAAAUAAAUGUGCAAAAUGUGCAUUUUUUUUUCAGGGAAAUCUGAACUAACAAGAUUUUGAAUCACUCACCAAAUGGCGGUCUUCCUUUUAACUGAGUCUUAUCUCAUCCUACUACAAAAAUUUCCCAAGAAAAUGUGAAGAGUCUUGAUACGGAGCUCAGGCAGUCACGUGAGUGAAGGGGAGCGGCUGUAAACACAGAUGAAGCUUGGCUCACUCGCUCGCCAUUCACCUCCUGCUGUCCAGUCCAGUCCUGAACGACAGCCCUUUAAACAGAAGGACUCUGUUGUCUAGUUUUUUUACUGUUGUGUCCACAGCACCUAGAAUGACUCUUGGCACAUGGCAGGUGGUUCUGAUGCUAGCUCGAGUCUGAGAAGCUCUGGUUUACGAGAGAGGCCACCAAAGGCCUCUCUUCUGUCUUCCUCCAGCAUCUUCAUUGAACAGCCAGCUUCAAGCC